Molecule: RNA transcript, 4421 nt
Organism: Balaenoptera musculus (blue whale)
Lineage: Eukaryota; Metazoa; Chordata; Mammalia; Artiodactyla; Balaenopteridae
Gene: FRRS1L
Gene name: ferric chelate reductase 1 like
Exons: 6
Source: RefSeq, a predicted model, not a curated record
GCGUGCUGGCGGCGGCGGCGGCGGCCGCGCAGUCCCGGCCCAGCGCCCGCGGCGCCCCUGCUGCGGCCCGAGCGGCCUGGCUGCGGGAUCGGUGGAUAGCGAUGGCGCGGCCCCGCCGGCAGCGCCCGGGGGCCUGGGCGCCGCUGCUCUUGCUGCUGCUGGCCGGGCCCGUCGCCUGUGCCGCCAGCCCCGCGGACGACGGCGCGGGCGCCGGGGGCCGGGGGCCCCGGGGCCGCGCGCGGGGGGACUCGGGCUCCGACGAGGCGGUGCCGCGCCACGACUCCUCCUACGGCACCUUCGCGGGGGAGUUCUACGACCUACGCUACCUGUCCGAGGAGGGUUACCCUUUCCCUACUGCUCCUCCUGUGGAUCCAUUUGCCAAAAUCAAAGUGGAUGACUGUGGAAAAACUAAGGGAUGCUUUAGAUAUGGCAAACCGGGCUGUAAUGCAGAGACCUGUGACUACUUCCUCAGCUACCGGAUGAUAGGGGCUGAUGUGGAAUUUGAGCUGAGUGCAGACACAGAUGGUUGGGUAGCAGUUGGAUUCUCUUCAGACAGGAAAAUGGGUGGUGACGACGUCAUGGCCUGCGUCCACGACGACAAUGGCAGGGUGCGCGUACAGCACUUCUAUAACGUAGGCCAGUGGGCAAAGGAGAUUCAGAGAAACCCUGCCAGAGAUGAAGAAGGAGUUUUUGAGAAUAAUCGGGUCACCUGCAGAUUUAAACGGCCUGUGAACGUUCCCAGAGAUGAAACGAUUGUUGAUCUGCAUUUAAGUUGGUAUUAUCUGUUUGCUUGGGGUCCAGCCAUUCAGGGCUCCAUCACCCGACAUGAUAUAGACUCACCACCGACUUCAGAGCGUGUUGUCAGUAUUUACAAGUAUGAGGACAUUUUUAUGCCAUCAGCUGCCUAUCAGACCUUCUCCUCUCCAUUCUGUCUGCUUCUCAUUGUUGCCCUGACCUUCUACUUAUUGAUGGGAACCCCUUAACCACAGCUGCAAAGCCAACAGAUUCAAUACAUUAUUAGAAAGUCUUUAGUAUAUUUUUAAAAAAUAUGCAGUAUAAUUUUAGCUUCUAUUAUGUACAAAAAAAAAAGACUUAUAUGAUUCAGCUUUCUGGAAGAAAGAGCAAGUUUCUUUUCUAAGCGAAGAGGGUUGUUUAAUAAUGGCCCCAUACUUUGGGAAAGUACUUAAAACUUUUCUAAGCACUCACUUUCAAAUAUGUUUUCUUAUUUGAGCUUCCCAACAUCUCUGAGUUGGCUUGAUGAACAUUAUUAUUGCCAUCGUACUGAAUGGGAUUUGAGACCCAGGAAGGCUCCCUUUUUAUGACUCUCGUGCCAUGUAGCCUUGGCUACUUGGUCAGAUAACACAUAGCAAGGUAGAGAAAGCUAGGCAUAGAAACCAUGUCUCUAAACAACCUUUACUCUUCCAACUACAGCUCAAGAGAGUUACUUGGAGUAAUACUAAGGAGAACUUCACUGGAUGGCCCAAGUUCACAGUCAGCCUUUUAGGCAGAAGAACUUUCAAAUUUUCAUAAAGCGUGAAGGCAUUUGGAUACUUACACAGCUAAUGAGGAGAAUGAAGGAGAUAAUAGUGAUAUGAAAAUGGUUCAUAUUUAUUUGAAGUAUCUUCUGGAUUAGUAAGUAGCUAAAAGAACACAUUUUUUUUUGCUGCUUGGAAAGGUUAGAAAUGGAACUGUGAGUGUUCCUGAAGAUGUAAAAUUAUAUUAAUGAUAAAAAAAAAUAUGGGCAUUCGUAGAAGUUAGAAUUUGGACUCUUCUACCACUGUAUUUAAUAAAUUAAGGUGUUUAUUUGUGGUUACAGCUAAUUCUGUUGUCAGUCACCGUAUAUUGAGUAUGAUUAAAUGUAUAUUAUAAUAGACAAAUCAUCUUGAAUAUUCAAGGCAUUUUGAUAAUAAAUUAACAUUUUUGGAGAUUGUGGAGAUUUGGAGUAGAAACAUUUUAAAGAUGACAUUUUUUUUUUAAUUAGCAAAUGCGAAAUGACCCAUCAAGUGAAUUUACUUAGAGUAUCCAUUCAAAUGUUCAGACUUGUAAAUUGGAUUGGCAGUCAGCAUAAUUUAUAAUAAUGUCUUGACUUAAUGCAUUUUCUUUUUUCAAAGGAACCCAAAUGUUCCUUUAUUCCAACUGACUGAGUUAACAGCCCAUUUAGAGGAAAAGAGUCUCUGGGUAUAAUUAUGCUGCUGAGGCAUUUCCACUGUAGAGUUCUGGAGUCUUCUGGCUCCCCCGCAACUCCCCACCCCGUUGCUUUAAAGUUGGCUCCAACUUUGUGGUUUUUGUGAUUAACAACACUGGAGACUGAGACUUCUAAUGCCAUCCUUGGAAUCCAUGUCAGAAGUGAAAGACCACCUCUCCUAUGGGGGAAGCUUUCACAUUCUUCUGGCACUGAACAAAAAUAAGGAAAACAUCCAGAUUCUGUGACAUUUACUGCGUGCAUCCAAGGGAUGUAGGAGAAACAAUCCUCACUGCAGGUGGACAGAGGUGAAAUGACAUCAAGCGAGUGAUGGAUUCAAACUCAAGUCAUCGGAUUCAAGUCCCUGGCUCCACCUGACUCAUAACCAAGCCCUCCAGCCUUGGCUGAGGAUGGCCUGUGCAUCACCUAAGAGUUGAUGUGAAAGAGGUGUCAGUAAAUUCAGAGCUGGGUAAGCAGCAGUUUUAUUUUAUCUAAGCUGUGCCAAUCGUGAACUACUUUCACUGUGCAGUUGCUCUUCAUGGUGUGGAUUACAGUUGAUCCUUAAACAUCACAUGGGGUUAGGGGCACUGACCCUCUAGGCAGUGGAAAAUCCACCUAUAAUUUAUAGUAAGCCCUCCAUAAUAUGUGGUUCCCAUGUCCACGGUUCCUCCUAUCCAUGGUCACAUGGUCCAAGGAUGCAACCAACCUUACUACAUGUAGCACUGUAGUAUUUACUAUUGAAAAAAAUCCAUGUAUAAAUGGACCUGCACAGUUCAAACUUACGUUGUUCAAGGGUCAACUGUACAAUGUUCAGACUAGUUUAUUUUCCUCUAGACAAUUUUUAAGUAUUAUCUAAAUCUGUUACAUCCACGGGAUGGGAGUGUUUUACUCAUGUGACUAUGGCAUCACCUUGUGUAUCAUAAUGGAAACAUGUUUGAGAACCACCGCAAUAGGUCAAAUGCUGAGAUGUGAAUACUUUGCUGUAUAUAACUGUACUGUUCUCUAAACAGAAUUGGUUAUGUUUAGUGAACAGUUUGAUUAUUCUCAGUGUGUUUGUAUAUAUAUUUGUACAUACAUGAUGAGGUCUGUAUGUGUUUAUACAUAAAUGCCUAUAUAUACACAUACCAUGGCCAUUUGAAGGUCUUUGUCAGGAUUGUUUCUGCUUCUGAUCUUGUAAAUACUUUUAAACCCAAGAGAUAUAACAUUGUAUGUAUUACAGGCCAAACUACCCUUAAGUUUAUAGUAAUUUCGUUUGCAGAAAGGGUUCCUGGAUCCGUUAUUAAACCUUGCCUCCUCCAUUCAACAUUCUAUGACUUGUUAAGAACAUAUAAAAUAAAGUAUCAUUGUUGAGUUUGACUUUUCUAUACCGUUAGUUAAGAAACUAAGCCUAGUGUGAACUGAGUCAAUGGCAUGUAGAUGUAACCUAUCCAUGUUUUAUAUUUAAUUAGAUUUCUUGUUCAGUUAAUCAGUUAUUUAGUUUCAAGUUGUACCUGGUUGUUCUCAUAUUUAAUAGAUAAAUAUAAAUUCCUUUUCAUGAAAAUAGUGGCUAUUAACAUGAUUUUAAAUGUGACUAAAGAUUUAAGUGAACCAUCAAGCGCUUUGGGGUUUUUCACUUAAAGUAUGCUGAUAUUCAACUAAUGUUUUCUGUUUUCCCCUGGAUACUGGCUGUUAGGCAAAUAGCUGUUCUUUUCUAUUCUUCUGGAGAGCCAUGGAUUCUCUAGGGUUACGGGGUACGUGGUGGUUGUGCCAUUCACCCAGAUCACUAAAGCCGUUACCAUUUCAUCACACAGAAUGUCCUGACCACCUGGAAGAGUAAAUGCACCUUCUCCACAUGCCUUAUUCCCCCAGAUGCGCUCAUAUGCUGGAACAAUCUGGCUCCAGGUGUAUUAAUAUACUUUUUUGCGACUGUCUGUAAAAUACUAUUUUGUAAGAACUAUGCCUUUAGAUGGACAUUGAUGGGUUAUAUUUGUUUUAUAAUAAUUGUGUACCUAAUGUUCAAUUGUGGUUGAUUUUGAGAUUUAUGAUAUUUAUAAGCCCGUCCUACGUGGAUUUUUACGAUAUGUGGUACCUUACUAAUAAAGACAUGGAUUUCUAUUUAUGUAAAGUAAUUGUAGCAAUAUUCCUAGAUGCUACCUAAAUGAUUGUUCUGCCCAUCUGCCGUCACAAAUACUUCUAUAUUUAGAGGGCUAUGUUAGAGUUAGAAUAUAUUAACUAGAUUUAAAUUUUAAAAUAUAGAUUC